RNAcentral lists this transfer RNA (93 nucleotides) under Paenarthrobacter sp. OM7. Its description in RNAcentral is "tRNA-OTHER". The record is from RNAcentral. Lineage: Bacteria; Bacillati; Actinomycetota; Actinomycetes; Micrococcales; Micrococcaceae.
GGGCCUGAUAGGCAACCCACUACCCGAAGCUCCAAUUCCCCCAUUUCAGGCGGCGACGGACGGGACCCGGUUCGAAUCCGGGCAGGCCCACCA